Chinchilla lanigera (long-tailed chinchilla) is the source of this 2733-nucleotide long non-coding RNA. RefSeq lists it as uncharacterized. The transcript has 2 exons. Lineage: Eukaryota; Metazoa; Chordata; Mammalia; Rodentia; Chinchillidae. The record is from RefSeq and is a predicted model, not a curated record.
GGGGGGCUGAGGGUCUUUUAGUUGCCAGCACGCCCUCCUCUUCUCAUGAACACAGGAGGGAGAGCCGUGGAGGCAGGGAUGCUGGAGAGGGGUCCCUAGGCAUCAGGAAUCCCGGGCUCAUGCAAGUCAGGGGCCCCUGAGCUCUGUUGGUUCCAGUACUGGGUCAGGGGCAGUGCCGAACAGAACAGACCAUUCACCAUUCGGGAAGCUAAGAGGGAAUCCUUCUGGGCAAAUGAUUUUAGGGUGCAGUACUGCGGGGAAGCCUUGGCAGGAGUGCCAGUCACUCACAUUUCUGCACCAUGGAGGGGCAGGGCAGGCUGCCAGUGACCUUUUAGCUCAGUUACGGAAGCCUCGGCUUCUAGUAAACGAUGCUUCAUAGGGAAUCGAGGUCCUGGGUCCAGGAAAGCGUGUCUGCAGGCAGGGAAAGCAAGUGAGGACCCUGAAGAGGGUGGGUGGCCAUACUGGGGGCCCUCUGGUGUGUCCAGCAUGCCUCCUUCUCAGCUGCCCCUUUGAGAGAUGGGCAAAGCUGUCUGGGAGGUGGCCGGCAGCAGAAUCUGUUUGCUGAGAGAUGAGUCUGCACCCAGGCUCCUUGUCUAGGAAGCAGGACCGCUGGGUGGGCCCAGUGCUGAGGAGCAGGAGAACUUGGGGGCCUCCCACCAUCUGGACUGAGACCAUCUGGACCAGAGGGGACCAGAGACCAUCUGGAUUUCCUGACAGCCAGGGAAUGGACUCUGGAGCUGGCACUUGGGAGCAGAAAGAUCUUGAGAGGCUGCACAAUUGGCACAAGUCCUGAAAAUAUAUAAGAAAUAAUGUCCCACAGGCUACCCCAAGGAGCAUGCGAGGGUGAUGUAGGGACAGCCUGACUUCGUUUGUGAUUCCAGUGUCUCCCCUGUUUUUCUGACACGGAAGUACGUGGAACCUGUGUUUGGACUGUGCCUAUGUUCCAGGUCCCCUGUUCUGCACAUGAGGACACCUUUGGAUCCAUGUGACCCACUGAGUCCAAUGACAGCCUCAAAGACAGCAUCAGAUUCCCUGAAGAUGUCUGAAGAUGGGGCUGGGGGCCCAGCCACCAGCCCCCCUCUGUGAGGAGAAAGUGGACACAAUAGCAACAGGGGUCAUGUGCAGACCAGGCAGUGUGGGGCCCCAGUCUCAGAGGCCACAUUAGCUUGGUGGCGCAGGGCCUAGGGGCACUGCCUUUGGAAUUUGGGAGCUGGGUGGUUUCAUCCCUCUGGUCUAAUUAUGCACAUGGGGACAUCGAGGCCGGAGGGAGGCAGGAGGGGACCAGAACUUGGGCUGGGGUCUUCCCACCCUUCAGGACACCAAGCCCUGAGCUCCUGGUGGCCCUAUCGCCUGCCACCCCAACAGGGGAACCAGAGGUGGGAAAGACGCUAAGUUGUUAAUGAGAAAUGGCAAAAUAUUAAAAAAAAAAAAAAAAAAGAAAACAGAAACUGCCCAGGCAUAGCCCAGACCAGCACCGGAGUCCCCCCUGUGCCAGGCCAGCCAGCUGGGGAUGCCGUGAGCACAGUUGAAGGUGCUGUGAUUGUGCCCUUUCCCUCUGCUGAGCCUGGGACUUUUGACACCAUCCAUGCACUAAUGAUCUGCUGGUGACUUCUGGGACCAGCUGCCUCCUGUCAUGGGUAUUGGGGAUGCUGAAAACUCACUGAAUGUUUUGGCCAAAGGCACGGGACCAUGCUCUGAUUCCGUGUCCUCUGUCCUUGCACCCAGCCCAGUGGUUCUAGUCUACCCACCCCCAAACUCGUCCACCCACCCCCAAACUUGUCCACUUACCCCUAAACUUGUCCACUUACCCCCAAACCUGUCCCAUCCCUCCCUGCCACCUGCUGACCACCCUGUCCGUACUGCCUACGCCCCCUUCCCACCCUAGGGCCUUUGCACGCCAGUGUCCAUGGCAGGAGCACAGCUGGCUCUUCCACUGGCCAAGGUGCUCUUGAAACUCAGUGGACCCAGCUAGGCUUUCUUCAGCCACCCUAUUUGUCUGCCUCUCACCUAAUGUCACUCUCAUUUUUUUUAAAGGUCUGGUCCCAGGACCAGACCCCUGGCCUUGCCUCGGUGGCCCUGCCUGCACGCUGUGCAGUCUGUAGGUGGCUCGGACACACGGAACUCUUAGAAGUGAGGCUAGGUCUUUCCUGCUCCCUGUUGUGCCCCCAACACUGGGCAUGCAGUGUCAGGGUGAUGGGCAUGCCCUCACACCUGACCCGAGCCCAGCCUGGACAGCAGCAGCAGGGACAGAGAAGGGGCUGUUGGGAGCCAGGGUUAUUUUACCAGCGUUUCUUUAUGGCCAUGCUGAACUGAGUGCUUCAUCUGUGGUACAACAUUAACUUUCUACCUUGAAACUACCAGAACUGUGUGGACAUCAGAUGGUCUAACUGCUGGUUCUGUUUUCCCCCAUCCCAAUAGAACGUCAAAACUCCCUUUUUGUGUGAGUGCAUAUAUGUAUUAUUUUGACCUUUAUCAGUAUCCCUUAUUAGCCUAUACACAUUUGCUAAUUUUACUUGGACUUUUUAAAAUUUUUUGUCAUCUUUAUUUUCUGUUUUGUUUUUUGAGACAGUUUCACUAGGUAGCUCAGGCUGGACUCAAACUCCAGGCGAUCCUCCUGCCUCAGCCUCCUGAGUGCUGAUGGGAUUGUUUUUUCUCCCAGCUGGUGCAGUUGUCUCUUGUAUUCACCUGCUGGUCUCAGUGUUACCAAUAAACUCUUCACUUUUGGUCCCUUGA